This 449-nucleotide ribosomal RNA is filed under the name Salmonella bongori. Its description in RNAcentral is "bacterial SSU rRNA". It matches the Rfam family "Bacterial small subunit ribosomal RNA", at positions 993 to 1442 of the family's 1533-position model. Lineage: Bacteria; Pseudomonadati; Pseudomonadota; Gammaproteobacteria; Enterobacterales; Enterobacteriaceae. The record is from RNAcentral.
GAACCUUGUAGAGAUACGAGGGUGCCUUCGGGAACUGUGAGACAGGUGCUGCAUGGCUGUCGUCAGCUCGUGUUGUGAAAUGUUGGGUUAAGUCCCGCAACGAGCGCAACCCUUAUCCUUUGUUGCCAGCGAUUAGGUCGGGAACUCAAAGGAGACUGCCAGUGAUAAACUGGAGGAAGGUGGGGAUGACGUCAAGUCAUCAUGGCCCUUACGACCAGGGCUACACACGUGCUACAAUGGCGCAUACAAAGAGAAGCGACCUCGCGAGAGCAAGCGGACCUCAUAAAGUGCGUCGUAGUCCGGAUUGGAGUCUGCAACUCGACUCCAUGAAGUCGGAAUCGCUAGUAAUCGUGGAUCAGAAUGCCACGGUGAAUACGUUCCCGGGCCUUGUACACACCGCCCGUCACACCAUGGGAGUGGGUUGCAAAAGAAGUAGGUAGCUUAACCUU